UGGGGAAUAUUGGACAAUGGGCGCAAGCCUGAUCCAGCCAUGCCGCGUGAGUGAUGAAGGCCCUAGGGUUGUAAAGCUCUUUCACCGGUGAAGAUAGUGACGGUAACCGGAGAAGAAGCCCCGGCUAACUUCGUGCCAGCAGCCGCGGUAAUACGAAGGGGGCUAGCGUUGUUCGGAUUUACUGGGCGUAAAGCGCACGUAGGCGGACUAUUAAGUCAGGGGUGAAAUCCCGGGGCUCAACCCCGGAACUGCCUUUGAUACUGGUAGUCUUGAGUUCGAGAGAGGUGAGUGGAAUUCCGAGUGUAGAGGUGAAAUUCGUAGAUAUUCGGAGGAACACCAGUGGCGAAGGCGGCUCACUGGCUCGAUACUGACGCUGGGGUGCGAAAGCGUGGGGAGCAAACAGG
This 404-nucleotide ribosomal RNA is filed under the name Actinomycetes bacterium. RNAcentral describes it as "Actinobacteria bacterium partial 16S ribosomal RNA". It matches the Rfam family "Bacterial small subunit ribosomal RNA", at positions 355 to 776 of the family's 1533-position model. Lineage: Bacteria; Bacillati; Actinomycetota; Actinomycetes. The record is from RNAcentral.